UACAGGGGAUGCAAGCGUUAUUCGGAAUUAUUGGGCGUAAAGCGUUUGUAGGUUGAAAAUCGAGUCUUUUGUAAAAUCUUUGAGCUUAACUUAAAGGCUGCAAACUAGACACUAAUUUUCUUGAGAUAGUAAAAGGCAAAGGGAAUUUCCAGUGGAGUGGUGAAAUAUUUUGAUAUUGGAAAGAACACCGAUGGCGAAAGCACUUUGCUAGGACUAUACUGACACUGAGAAACGAAAGCUAGGGGAGCAAACAGG
RNAcentral lists this ribosomal RNA (255 nucleotides) under uncultured bacterium. Its description in RNAcentral is "partial 16S ribosomal RNA". It matches the Rfam family "Bacterial small subunit ribosomal RNA", at positions 524 to 776 of the family's 1533-position model. The record is from RNAcentral.